RNAcentral lists this ribosomal RNA (549 nucleotides) under uncultured bacterium. Its description in RNAcentral is "partial 16S ribosomal RNA". It matches the Rfam family "Bacterial small subunit ribosomal RNA", at positions 355 to 895 of the family's 1533-position model. The record is from RNAcentral.
UGGGGAAUUUUGGGCAAUGGGCGAAAGCCUGAUCCAGCAAUGCCGCGUGUGUGAAGAAGGCCUUCGGGUUGUAAAGCACUUUUGUCCGGAAAGAAAUCCUUGGCUCUAAUACAGUCGGGGGAUGACGGUACCGGAAGAAUAAGCACCGGCUAACUACGUGCCAGCAGCCGCGGUAAUACGUAGGGUGCAAGCGUUAAUCGGAAUUACUGGGCGUAAAGCGUGCGCAGGCGGUUUGCUAAGACCGAUGUGAAAUCCCCGGGCUCAACCUGGGAACUGCAUUGGUGACUGGCAGGCUAGAGUAUGGCAGAGGGGGGUAGAAUUCCACGUGUAGCAGUGAAAUGCGUAGAGAUGUGGAGGAAUACCGAUGGCGAAGGCAGCCCCCUGGGCCAAUACUGACGCUCAUGCACGAAAGCGUGGGGAGCAAACAGGAUUAGAUACCCUGGUAGUCCACGCCCUAAACGAUGUCAACUAGUUGUUGGGGACUUCAUUUUCCUUAGUAACGUAGCUAACGCGUGAAGUUGACCGCCUGGGGAGUACGGUCGCAAGAUU